AACGAACGCUGGCGGCAUGCCUAACACAUGCCAGUCGAACGAGACCUUCGGGUCCAGUGGCGCACGGGUGCGUAACGCGUGGGAACCUGCCCUUAGGUUCGGAAUAACUCCCCGAAAGGGGUGCUAAUACCGGAUAAUGUCUUCGGACCAAAGAUUUAUCGCCUUUGGAUGGGCCCGCGUUGGAUUAGCUAGUUGGUAGGGUAAAAGCCUACCAAGGCGACGAUCCAUAGCUGGUCUGAGAGGAUGAUCAGCCACACUGGGACUGAGACACGGCCCAGACUCCUACGGGAGGCAGCAGUGGGGAAUAUUGGACAAUGGGCGAAAGCCUGAUCCAGCAAUGCCGCGUGAGUGAUGAAGGCCUUAGGGUUGUAAAGCUCUUUUACCCGGGAUGAUAAUGACAGUACCGGGAGAAUAAGCUCCGGCUAACUCCGUG
Molecule: ribosomal RNA, 433 nt
Filed under: uncultured bacterium
Lineage: Bacteria
Description: partial 16S ribosomal RNA
Rfam family: Bacterial small subunit ribosomal RNA
Source: RNAcentral